This 671-nucleotide non-coding RNA is filed under the name Mus musculus (house mouse). The record is from RNAcentral. Lineage: Eukaryota; Metazoa; Chordata; Mammalia; Rodentia; Muridae.
GAGGACCGUAUUCAUGGAAGAGGAUUGAACAGACUACUGAGUUCUUAAGAGAAAAAUGGCACUUAAGAAAUUGAUGGUGAUAUCAAAGGAAGGUUACUUAUUACUCUUGGACUUUGAUGAUGAGGACGAUGACAUAAAAGUUUCAGAGGAGGCUCUUGCGGAAGAGAUGAAGUAGACAGUAUGUUGGAUAAAUCUGGAGUAAAGAACCCAGCAAUUGGUAAAGAUGAGAAUAUAUCGCCUCAAGUAAAAGGAGAUGAAGACAUGGGAGAUGAAAUUGACAGUAUGUUGGCUACAUCUGGAGGCCUUUUCUCCUGAGAACACGGGACUCCAGCAUCUUCGGAUUCUGCUCUUGGAGGUGUGAGUCCCUGCCUCUCUGCACAGGGGAACUUAUGUCUCUCCACAUGUCCGCAAAUGUCUACCCAAGAUUAUACAUCUUCCAAAGGCUUUCAAAUACUUCUUUACAUAAACAAGGGGUUUGCCCCACAUCCUCUAUAUUGCAGAAAACAAGACUAGGCUCUACCUCUGUAGAUCAAGCACGACUGAAAUCCGUGCUCUCAAAAGAUGCUGGGGAGAAAGAGUGCCAUUCUUCACAAAUGCUGCUGCAUCAUUGGACUGAAAGUGAAUGGCCCAUGUGUUGCCACUGAUGUGAGCCAUUUGCCUGUUGUGCUUCA